CACCAGGCUAGGAAGCCUAGGGUCGCCGAUGUUCCAGGAUGGAAUGUUCUGGUGUCACCGUGCGGGGGGGUGGGGGGUGUCACAGAGCUGGGAACUCGCUCAGAGCCAGGGUCUCUGCUGGGGUCAGCGUCUGUACGCUAAAGCCAGGGCGCAAAGUGCGUGGGCACUGCGGACACUAGAGGCUUAUGGCGCUGGAAAUACAAGGCCGAGUUGCCGGCGCAAAGAGUUCCCCGGGCGGGUUGGUGAUGCGGCGCGCUUUGAUAACAGGUUAAUCCGGCCAACAUUCGCUCCGCGAGAGAGCCAUCGGAGGGCUCCGGGAGACUGCGGCGCCACGGAGGGAGAGGCGGCGAGAGGCCCCUCUGCGAGCACCCUCUGGGCGCAGUGCGGUGGGCUAUGCUCUGCGCAGCCCCGGGCGCGCCUGGGUUCUCAGAGCCCAAGACCUGAGCCGCUCCGAGCGCAGGGCGCCAGUUCUCUUUCAGAAGCGGGAGAAGUUCAGGUGCCCAACACCUUGAUCAGUGCCUGCUUUGUAGUAGGCAUUCAAAUACUGUGGACUGGAUGAAUGGAGUCACUUCCCUUCCAACCUGCACACCAACGUGGUUGAACUGCCUCCUUUCUAAGUGCCAAAGUCUGUUUUACAAGGCUGCCCUGCUGUGCCCAUCUGGGCACCCAGUCCAGCCUCCCUUCCUGGGCGCCUUGACUCCCAACUGCAGAUGAAGUGUCUGGAAAUCAUGGUACUCAAGGUAGGAUCCACAUUGCCUGCCGGCCUAGGACCAAGAUCUGCAAGUCAGAACGAAACACCAGCUGUCCCUGUCUCCUGCACCCAUCCCCAUCCCGGUGAGUGAAGACACAGAACCGAGGACGAACCCGG
RNAcentral lists this long non-coding RNA (868 nucleotides) under Homo sapiens (human). Its description in RNAcentral is "non-protein coding lnc-EMX2-2:1". The record is from RNAcentral. Lineage: Eukaryota; Metazoa; Chordata; Mammalia; Primates; Hominidae.